CGCGCAGGCGGAUGGUUGCGUCCGGAGUGAAAUUUCGCCGCUCAACGGCGAAGCUGCUUUGGAUACGGACCGUCUAGGGACCGGUAGAGGCUGGUAGAAUUGCAGGUGUAGCGGUGGAAUGCGUAGAGAUCUGCAAGAAUACCCGUGGCGAAGGCGGCCAGCUGGGCCGGAUCCGACGCUGAGGCGCGAAAGCGUGGGGAGCAAACA
RNAcentral lists this ribosomal RNA (207 nucleotides) under uncultured bacterium. Its description in RNAcentral is "partial 16S ribosomal RNA". It matches the Rfam family "Bacterial small subunit ribosomal RNA", at positions 568 to 774 of the family's 1533-position model. The record is from RNAcentral.